RNAcentral lists this ribosomal RNA (538 nucleotides) under uncultured bacterium. Its description in RNAcentral is "bacterial SSU rRNA". It matches the Rfam family "Bacterial small subunit ribosomal RNA", at positions 355 to 895 of the family's 1533-position model. The record is from RNAcentral.
UGAGGAAUAUUGGUCAAUGGACGAGAGUCUGAACCAGCCAAGUAGCGUGCAGGAUGACGGCCCUAUGGGUUGUAAACUGCUUUUGUAUGGGGAUAAAGUCAAUCACGUGUGAUUGUUUGCAGGUACCAUACGAAUAAGGACCGGCUAAUUCCGUGCCAGCAGCCGCGGUAAUACGGAAGGUCCGGGCGUUAUCCGGAUUUAUUGGGUUUAAAGGGAGCGUAGGCUGGAGAUUAAGUGUGUUGUGAAAUGUAGACGCUCAACGUCUGAAUUGCAGCGCAUACUGGUUUCCUUGAGUACGCACAACGUUGGCGGAAUUCGUCGUGUAGCGGUGAAAUGCUUAGAUAUGACGAAGAACUCCGAUUGCGAAGGCAGCUGACGGGAGCGCAACUGACGCUUAAGCUCGAAGGUGCGGGUAUCGAACAGGAUUAGAUACCCUGGUAGUCCGCACAGUAACGAUGGAUGCCCGCUGUUGGUACCUGGUAUCAGCGGCUAAGCGAAAGCAUUAAGCAUCCCACCUGGGGAGUACGCCGGCAACGGU